UACGGAGGGUGCAAGCGUUAUCCGGAUUCACUGGGUUUAAAGGGUGCGUAGGCGGGCAGGUAAGUCCGUGGUGAAAUCUCUGAGCUUAACUCAGAAACUGCCAUGGAUACUAUUUGUCUUGAAUAUUGUGGAGGUAAGCGGAAUGUGUCAUGUAGCGGUGAAAUGCUUAGAUAUGACAUAGAACACCGAUUGCGAAGGCAGCUUGCUACACGAUCAUUGACACUGAGGCACGAAAGCGUGGGGAUCAAACAGG
This 253-nucleotide ribosomal RNA is filed under the name uncultured bacterium. RNAcentral's name for it is "partial 16S ribosomal RNA". It matches the Rfam family "Bacterial small subunit ribosomal RNA", at positions 524 to 776 of the family's 1533-position model. The record is from RNAcentral.